Ictidomys tridecemlineatus (thirteen-lined ground squirrel) is the source of this 71-nucleotide non-coding RNA. The record is from Rfam. Lineage: Eukaryota; Metazoa; Chordata; Mammalia; Rodentia; Sciuridae.
GAGGUUGUGGCUCAGUGGUAGAGCUCUUGCCUCACACGUGUGAGGCACUGGGUUCAAUUCUCAGCACCGCA